Molecule: long non-coding RNA, 384 nt
Filed under: Homo sapiens (human)
Lineage: Eukaryota; Metazoa; Chordata; Mammalia; Primates; Hominidae
Description: HSALNT0069125
Source: RNAcentral
CUUCGGCUCACGCACAGUGCGCCCACCCACUGACCUGCGCCCACUGUCUGGCACUCGCUAGUGAGAUGAACCCGGUACCUCAGAUGGAAAUGCAGAAAUCACCCGUCUUCUGCGUCGCUCAGGCUGGGAGCUGUAGACCAGAGCUGUUCCUAUUCGGCCAUCUUCUGGUGCUACAUUUUAAAAGAGAAAGAAAAACUACAUAUACAGUAAGGCAUUCUGUGCUGGGAGGAGAGCAGAGGAUCCAGGGAGCAGAUUGCAGGGAGCUUCACUGAAGCAAGAUGACCGUGAUGCUGGAGAAGAGCCCUUGAGAUGGAACAGGAGAGGUCAUUUGAACACAAAAUGAGAUGGUGGCUGCCUACAUAUUGAUCCCUUCUCAUCAGAGUA